This is a long non-coding RNA of Papaver somniferum (opium poppy), 3347 nucleotides long. RefSeq lists it as uncharacterized. The transcript has 3 exons. The record is from RefSeq and is a predicted model, not a curated record. Lineage: Eukaryota; Viridiplantae; Streptophyta; Magnoliopsida; Ranunculales; Papaveraceae.
CAGAGAAGAAAAGCAGCAGCUGCCGCUGUUACUGCUGAGAGACUAGAUUGAGAGAAAUUUAGACAAAGGGAGAGAUGACUUAAUAGAGAGGAACUUGGAGAAGAGAAUCAAGAUAACUAGGUUGCUGUUGAAUGAAAAUCAAUGGAUAAGUAAAAGAAGAUCGGAUAACUGAAGUUGGUACUGAUUCAAAAUGAGAUUUGAAUCAGAAAUUGUGAAGAACUCGAUGAGUAUUAUUGGGUUUGACUGUGAUUUGGUGAGUGGAAGAUAUGGGCGUUCGAGUAUGCUACUGUAAUGAAGAAAUCUGGGUUUUAACAGAAACUGGAGUUGGGUUUUGAAUGAAUUGGAUUGUUACAGCGAGAUGGUUGUGUCUGGUUCGAGUUUGUGCUGCAUAUGAUGUUGCAGUCAAUGACAAUGGAGCUUUUGAAGUAUAUCUGAGCUGAGUUGAAGCAGGUGGAAGAAUAUGGUGAUGCUUUGUGUUGGUUCAAUGGAUUGGAUAUGGAGAUAAUGCUGCUGGUUGUGCUGUUGGCUUGAGGCGCAAGUGUAUGUUGCUGUUGUAUGGGAUAUGAAGCUGAGAAGUCAAGGUGUUGUGCAUUUGUGGGGUUAUGCUAUGUGUUUCUAGAGAGUGGAAAUUGGUGGUGAAGUGGCUUGGCUUAUUGAUGAUCAACUAGAUGUAUGUUAGGAGUUGAUAUUGCAGGUUCUGGUACAGCUGCAGAAAGUCAGGGACGAUAUGGAGUUAACUGAGUGGUUGUUGGCAGUGAAAGGGUUGGCUUUAUUGCAGUUUAAGCAGGUUAUGCACUUGCAGGUGGAGUUAUAGUCAGAUGAGAAAUGAUGGUGCUGCUGCCAUGUAUGAUUGAGCUGCAGUAAGAGAUGCAGGUAGAGUGGUAUGCAGGUGAUGGUACUGUAUUGUAGCAUCUGGGAUUGACAGUUGAACAUGGUGUUGUUGCCUGUUCAUCAUGUGUAAAUGGUUGGAACAAACUGAAUGUGCAGAGAGUUCAAAGUAUAAGGAAAUUAGUAAAGCUGGAGUUUACUGAUUGAAAUUGGGAUGGACUUGAAGGAGUUGAUGUGACUGAAAUGAAGCUGAGAUGAUGUUCAGUGUUAUCUGAUGGUGCUGGAAAUGGGUACGGUGUAACUCACUAUGCAGCUGGGAGCUGAAUUGUUGGUGGUGAUUGUUGGUUUCUGCAACAGGCUGAAGUUGCAGUUGGACAGGAAUGGUUGCAGCUAUAUGUAUUUGGAGCUUAAUCUGAGCUGAUGGUGAUGAAUUUGCCACAGGGUUGCAAUGAAGUUACACAAUGGAUCUGAGAUGCUGCAGGUUGAAUAUGGUGUUGAUGUUGGAGUUCAGCUGGUGGUGUUUCGCUUGAUGCUGAGAUUGUAGAAUAGCAGCUGGAAUUGAAGCUGCAGGUAGUGGAAGUGAUGUUGCAAUGCAGAUACUGAGAUUGAGAAGAUAUGAAGCUGCUGAAGCACAAUGAUUGUGCAACAUAACUUAGGCCAAUGCAAUGGCCAAGGCCAAAACUUUCUCAGCUAAUUCAGCUCAGUCAGGCUAGUUAGAUGCUGACUCGUUCUGACUCAGUGAAUUUGACUGGUUGGCUCGGUUUGACUCAGUUGACCCGACCGAGUUGAUUCGUUGACCGGUUACCGUGGUGGACUUUGCCGGUCACCUGAGAUGUUUUCCGACCGCUCCUCCGGCUAUCUUACCAGUUUUCGGCGACCUCCUUUGGGACAUAUUUUCUACAUGGGUGUUCUCACAUAUGGGCUUGGUGGACAUCUUUGUAUUGGGCUUUGGGCUUUGAAGACCUAGUUUUGGAAAGAGGAAAAGCUACAAAAAGAAAAAGCUUUUAUUCUUUGGAUCACGUAUUUUUCUACUUGGAGUUGGAGUUUUGGAGAGCGGCGACUAGGGUUUGCUUUCGUUUAUUUUUCAUCUUCUUCAUUUAUUAUUGAUUAUGAUUAUGAUGAACUCAAAAGCUAUGAGUAGCUAAAUAACUAUUAUUAGUUACGGGAUAAAAUUUGAUUUCUCAAGCAUGAUAUUUAAAUGUGAAAAAUACUAGAACCCCCUACUAUAUGGGUUCAAACAUAUAGAAGCUCCACUAUAUGGAUCAUCCACUGUCAACUCCAUAUUUUAAGAAAAUGAUAUUACUAGGCCCAAAAAAUCAAUUUUUCUUCAGAUCUGGCCCAUAAUUAAUUAUUACGAAUUUUAAUAAUACCAAGACUACCCUUUAGUAUUUAUACAAGAGGAAUAUCAGAAGAUAUUUUCAUUUUCUAUUUCAUUUUCUCUCUCCGUCUAAACCAGAGCUGCUCUCAUAGAUUCAUUUUCUAAGAUUUUAUCUAUUCGGUUGUACAAGAUCUAAUCUUCUGAUUUGAUUUCACAUCAACAAUUUGCAAGCAAAUCGAUCUGUGAUUUAGAAAGAAUCAAUUAUGUAUAGAGAUUUUUGUUCUACUCUAUCUUCUGCUAAAAGAAUUUAGUGGUUUUCGAUCUAUGUCAUCUAUGGCUGCCGAUGUACGACGAAGAGGAAAAAAUGACAUUGAUCUCUACUUCUGUAUCUGUAUCUACUGAUGAUGUUUCCAGAUCAUCAUUUGUUUGUGAAUAAGUCGAAAUCGAGAUGCAGAGACAAUAAAAUUCGUCAUCAACUAUUAGAUCUGAAGAUUCAACAACAAAAAGCUGAGAAAGAUAAGUUUCUCCCUUCUAAUCAUGUUUAAUUCAAUUAAAAUUCCUAGUUAUGUGAUUCGAAAAUAAAAUUGACUCUAAUUUGUUGUUUCGAAGCUACUUCAGGUAAGGUUUUCUAUUUGAUUUAAUAGGUUUUCCUGAUUUAGUAGUUCUACUUUCUUAGUUUGAUAAGGUUCUGAUUUUUGUUUCCUUGACUUUAUUCAGAUCGGAGAAGAACAUUAUUUUUAUUGAAUCAACAGGUUUUGAAUCUAGGUUCUGGAGGAGUAUGAGGAGGAUGUGGUGGUAGAGGUGGUGGUAUUGGAGCAGGUUUGAAAGAGGAUUUUGAAGUCAGUGGUGGUGUUUUUCAGAAUUGAUGAAUUGAAGGAGAUGAUGAGAAGAUAAAGGAUGAACUAUUUUAAGUUUCUACUACUGGUGCUAGUGGUGACAUGUAAUUAGUUGAUUUCACAAGUUACUAAGAAGGCUGACCCAAGGUGCUGGCUAACAAAGAUUCCAAGGCUCUCAAAGCUGGAGCAUCAACCAUUAAGAAGAAGGCUAAGAACAUCUGCACAUCAGUCACAUUUCACAGGCCAAAGACAUUGCAGAAGGCAAGGAAUCCCAAGUACCCAUGUAUUAGUGCACUACCAAGGAACAAGCUUGACCAUUACCAGAUCCUGAAAUACCCACUCACCACCGAGUCCGCAAUGAAGAA